GGACCUUUAGCUCAGUUGGUAGAGCUGCCUAUUCAUGAUAGGCUGGUCGUGGGUUCGAGCCCUACAAGGUCCA
Molecule: transfer RNA, 73 nt
Filed under: Caudoviricetes sp.
Lineage: Duplodnaviria; Heunggongvirae; Uroviricota; Caudoviricetes
Description: tRNA-Met
Rfam family: tRNA
About the family: Transfer RNA (tRNA) molecules are approximately 80 nucleotides in length.
Source: RNAcentral